This 433-nucleotide ribosomal RNA is filed under the name uncultured bacterium. Its description in RNAcentral is "partial 16S ribosomal RNA". It matches the Rfam family "Bacterial small subunit ribosomal RNA", at positions 29 to 507 of the family's 1533-position model. The record is from RNAcentral.
AACGAACGCUGGCGGCAUGCCUAACACAUGCAAGCCGAACGAGACCUUCGGGUCUAGUGGCGCACGGGUGCGUAACGCGUGGGAACCUGCCCUUAGGUUCGGAAUAACUCCCCGAAAGGGGUGCUAAUACCGGAUAAUGUUUUCGGACCAAAGAUUUAUCGCCUUUGGAUGGGCCCGCGUUGGAUUAGCUAGUUGGUAGGGUAAAAGCCUACCAAGGCGACGAUCCAUAGCUGGUCUGAGAGGAUGAUCAGCCACACUGGGACUGAGACACGGCCCAGACUCCUACGGGAGGAAGAAGUGGGGAAUAUUGGACAAUGGGCGAAAGACUGAUCCAGCAAUGCCGUGUGAGUGAUGAAGGCCUUAGGGUUGUAAGGCUCUUUUACCAGGGAUGAUAAUGACAGUACCGGGAGAAUAAGCUCCGGCUAACUCCGUG